GUUGUACUGUAUGACAGACCUUAAGGUCAAAGGAAAUGCCUGCAAAGCUCAGAGACAGGAUUAUUGCAAGGCAUAGAUCUGGGGAAGGCUACAGUAAAACUUCUGCUGCACUGAAGGUUCCUAGGAGAACAGUGGCCUCCAUAAUUCUCAAAUGGAAGAGGU
This is a non-coding RNA of Pseudonaja textilis, 162 nucleotides long. The record is from RefSeq and is a predicted model, not a curated record. NCBI's taxonomy places the organism in Eukaryota, Metazoa, Chordata, Lepidosauria, Squamata, Elapidae.